RNAcentral lists this unclassified non-coding RNA (1170 nucleotides) under Leishmania donovani. Its description in RNAcentral is "gene:unknown". The record is from RNAcentral. Lineage: Eukaryota; Euglenozoa; Kinetoplastea; Trypanosomatida; Trypanosomatidae.
UAGCCGUUAUAAACAGCAGCAGCUCAUUUUCUGGCUAAGCUAGAGUACAGCAAUGGCUCACCCCAUCCUCCUCCUCCUCCCACAUAUCAUAAAAGCGAACCAAGCGAGCGUACAAAUAUCAUGAUGCGUGCCGCAGCCGUGGUCACACGCCGGCAUGAGCGUCUCUGCUGAGUGUCAAUGGAGUAUGCCUGUGCCGCAGCGCGUCGCUGUCUGCCUCUUUUAUGCGUCAGUGGGUCCUACGCUGGCCAGUUCUCUAGUAGUGUUCGUUGACGCAAACGUCGGUCGCGGCGGCUCUGCUAGUCCGCACUCCCUCUCCGCGUGAGAGAAGCGAUGCUUCGCCACCGCUACAUCUGCGCAGCUGUUCGUCUGUCUUUUAUAUAUAUAUAUAUAUAUAUGAGGGGUCAAUUCGCACUUACUUUCACGUGUCUCUUGUAGAGGAGGGUGCGCGUGAGACGGAAUGGUCUCUCUCCCUCUCUCCUCACUGUUUUGGGCUCCUAAACAUGAUAUUUGGGGGGAGGCUUGCGCGUCUGCUGGUAAUGUGUGUGUCGGAUGUGACUUCGAUGCCGCAGACGUCUCCCAAGUCUGUUUGGAGCUGCCUUUCUUUUGGGGGUGGGGGGCCUCUGCCUGUGUGUGUGUUCGUGCGUUCGCCUAGUACGGUGGGAUAGUGCUGUCAGAAGAGAAAUCGAAAAACAACAUCCGCACAGCUUACGCAUGGCUGGUAAACAACAAAGGAGGGCAUUGCCUGUGCAGCGCCUUCUCUUGGAGAGCGCCGCACAGUUGUCCGAGAGGGUGGCCUGUCCCUCAACAGGCUCACGACACAGAGCUGUUGCUGACCGUAUGGUAGACGGGAUACCGCUGCCUGCUUCCUCCCAUGACCCUUUAUCCUCCACCGUGCGGUCACAGCUCAGCAUCGGCACCACUCCGCUUGCCACGGGUCUGUACAGAAACUAUACGCAGUGAAAUCGCUCCAUGCAUCACCUCGGGUACUUGAACAACAGACAAAAAGGAUAGCGAUGUGUUGAUGGUGUCGCAUUAGGCCUCGCAUGUGCUCGGCAUUUUUUCUUGUCUGUCUACCCUCUCUCCCUCCUUCUCCACAUUAUCCUCCCACCCUGCGACACUUUAUUCGUACGAACGGUUUCACGCGCACGCACUCGAAUCCGCACAACCAAG